UGACGUCACGCGACCCUACUUCCGCACUGAAAAGUCAAAAGUAUGUAAACUUUCAUUUCGCGUAGCAGUGGUAUUGACAGCUAGAAGUACCGUGAAGGACGAUUCCGAAGACUUUGGAUACAGUACUAAGUAGGUGUAUACGUAAUGUUCUGUUUACACACUUAAACGUAUAGGAGCAUAGCGUACACGGCGUACCUCACAAUCGCUUGUCUGUGCCUACACAUUGAUUGUGGCAGUCCGCUUCGUUGAAUAUGGCUGACGAUUUUUGGUAGCCACAAUUAAGUUGUAGUACGGUUUACGUUGAGGAUAUUACAACGGUUUUUGUGGAGGGAUGGUGCACAAAAUGGGGGAUUGUAUCGACGAUAGCGAUUCUGAGAAAACUCUGUCAGUGGACGAGUUAUGGCGAUUAUUGGAAGACAAGGAGAAAACAGUAUUUCUCCAAGCAGAGACGAUAGAACGCUUACAAGAAGAGGUUACGACUCUAAGAAAGGAGAGGGAUAGCCUUCUGAAAAGGGUGGCAACGUUCACCUUAAAGACACCAGAAAUAAGUGUCACAACCUCGAGGAACGGUGAUGACCUCCUGAGACAGAAGUCACGGUCUAGGUCAGUAGGCGGGUCACCGCUGGAGUCUCCAAGGACUAGCAAGCUUGUGAAUCAGGGAGGGAACAUUACACAGGGCAACCGUUGUCAACGACAACGAUCAUUACGGAGAACAGAGGAUGAGGUGAAAAAGUCAAGAUCACAGUCGGUAGCGUAUGAACUGUCACAGGACCUCCAGGAGAAACAGGUGGAGAUGUUAGAAAGGAAAUACGGAGGUUCUAUAAGAUCUCGGCGUGCCGCAAAAACUAUUCAGAGGGCUUUCAGGCAGUAUUGUAUGAAUAGAAACUUUGAGAAACUGAGGAUAGCUGUAGGUGAGCGAAGGUUAUCGAAGCGUCUCUCAGAACUAGGUCGCAGUAACACAAUAUGGACAGACAGAAUUAGUGCUGAUAGUCAUUAUAACAGCAGUAUGGGUGCUACGUUAAUACAAAAUAACGGUGAUAUACAGAGACACACGGACACCAACCAGGAACCAGGCGGUAAGUACAUAUCAAAUUACGAUGCAACAGGAUACAGGGAACAUCAGAAAAUGAAACAUCAAAUGUCUCUAGAUCCAAAUAUGAAAUUCGAUCCAAAUCGAGUGAAACUACCCAGAAAGGAUCGUAAACGUUUGGAACGGUGUACAGAGGUUUUGGAUCAGCCCGAUAUACCACAGGAGGAGAAAUCACAUCUUAAGGAUGAGACAAACAAUAAUCGGAAUUCGUAUCCGGAGAUGAAUGACAGUAGUAACAGUGAGUCUCCCCAGAACUCAGUUGAUCUACAUAGUUUUCACUUUGAGACGCUGUUAGAGGGUAAGGAGACGGAUAUAUUAGUGGACAGUUUUCAAAGUGAUGGUGCCAUUCACAGUGUCCAUAGUGAACCAAUGUUACAUCCGGAUUUAGCGUCAAAUUUAGGAAUUUCCCAAAAGCCUUCCACCUCAUCAUUGUACUCCAACACAAGUACCGACACCUACGAUAGUGCUAAAAGUCGUAGUGCUUCUUAUGAAAACUUUCGAACCAAUUAUUCUGACUCAGGGUCGCUUGGUAGUCAAGGUGACAUUCAGAUCAAAGUAGAACAGUUGUCACCAGACGGAAUUCGAACACAGGAACAGAAACAAAUGGCGGACCAGACAUUAAAGUAUUAUAUGAACCAAGAAGUCAAAAUGCGGGGUAAAAAUGAGGGAAGUGCUAAAAAACCACCCGUGGUGCCCGCACGGGCUCCAGAAGCGUCUCCAAUAUGGAAACGAAAAUGUGCUACGAACGGGGGACCUGGUGCCGUAACCCCGCCACAAAAAACACUCGAACCAAAACGUAUGAGUAACAUAUCAGAAAUGAGUGAAGCAGAUUCACUCGAUGGACGAUGUUCUAGUUCGCCAAGUUCGGAAAAUGUGAGUCUGGGUGGUGACAGCAAUGUAGGUUAUCAGAAACGUAUGAGACUCAGUAUGACUCCCGAUCAUCAACAUGUGAUGCCAAAGACUGCCGACAAACACAGAAAACGUACCUACAGAAUCGGAUUAAAUCUCUUCAACAAAAAACCUGAGAAAGGCGUCAAGUUCCUGUGUGAGUAUGGCUUCAUUGACGAGUCACCACAUGUGGUAGCCCGCUUUCUGAUCACACGGAAAGGACUGAGUAAACAGAUGAUUGGUGAAUACCUGGGGAACCUUCAGAACGAAUUCAACAUGGAAGUUCUUCAUUACUUUGCUCAAGAGAUUGACUUGGCUGGUCUACAGGUGGACAUGGCGCUGCGGAAAUACCAGGCCUGUUUUAGGAUGCCUGGAGAAGCUCAGAAGAUUGAAAGACUCAUGGAGGCAUUUGCAUCAAGAUACUGUGUUUGCAACCCAGAUCAAGUCAAGAAUUUCAAAAACCUAGAUGUUGUGUUCCUUCUGGCCUUUGCUAUCAUCAUGCUCAACACAGACUUGCACAACUCCAAUAUUAAGGCAGAGCGCAGGAUGAAGGUGGAAGACUUCAUCAAAAAUUUACGAGGUAUAGACGAUGGAGAUGACGUAGAUCGUGACAUGCUGGUCGGAAUCUACGAGAGGAUAAGCCAUUCGGAGCUACGUCCAGGUGUCGACCACGUUACCCAGGUGAUGAAGGUGGAACAGACCAUCGUCGGCAAGAGACCACAACUGGCCCUAUCCCACAGGCGACUGGUUUGUUACUGCCGACUGUACGAGGUACACGACCCGCAGAAGAAGGAGAAGGUUGGCCUUCACCAGAGGGAAGUAUUCCUCUUCAACGACAUUAUCUUUGUAACAAAAAUCUUCAGUAAAAAGAAGACUGGUAUAACAUAUGCAUUUAAGCAAUCCUUCUCUCUAUGUGGUAUGCAGGUAUUCCUGUUUGAGACUCCACAUUAUCAAUACGGUGUGCGGUUAAACAACAGCCUAGAUGGAAAAGUAUUUAUGACAUUCAAUGCCAGGAAUGACCAUGACCGGCAAAAGUUUGUGGAAGACCUUAAGGAAGCCAUCUUAGAGUCCAAUGGAAUGGAGCAGUACCGAAUUGAGGAAGAGCUACAGCGCCAUAGAGCCAAAAACAACACCAUUGACCGUCACUACGCCAACGACGACUCCCGGGUACUAAUGUACGAACUCUCGAAGCCAUCUGAUCCUACCUUAAAUAGGUUGUCUGCCCCUGAAUGUGGUGGCUUGAAGAAGCUCCCCCUAUCCAACUCUCUCACUGACUUAUGCGAAGCUCCAGGGAUGAGGAGAGGUAGUAGUGGAGGAUCCCUGGACAGCGGUGUGGCAUCAGGAAGCUCUGGCGGAGUCAACAGUAGCGGAGAAUCUCUAGGGACCCAGAAUCUGCAGCGUUCACCGGCCUCCCGGGCAGUGUAUCUAACACCACCGGAGAACCGAGGAGUUCGACCAAGACACCCGAAAACCUCAGCCGUCUAUCUUCAGGGGCGUAGCUCAGUCCCAGAAGGCACGGAAGUAUGAGUGGUCUCCCUUUGUCCUCCACAAGACAACAUAAGACGAAGGAUAUUGGCCCACUUGUUUCUUAAUUUCUUUAAUCCCAGAGACAUUUUAGCAAACAAGGCUGACUACUUGAUUGAUGAGGGUGUAGCUGACUACCCUGGUAUCAGAACUUCGUUUAAGAAGUCCAGGCCAAGGUGGACUGCCACAGGCAAUGCUGAUACCUGUGAUUUGUGUCAAUGAACCAGCUUAGUUUGGUUACCUCAUCAUUGAAUCAGGCAGAACAUUUAAACAGUAUUGUUCCAUUAAAAACCUUCGUCAUGUUUUCACUAUGAAACAAACUAGUUAGAAAAGUUUAACAGUUUCCUUCUUGCCCAGAUAAUUGUUAUAGCAAAUAAUACAAAAUUAGGAGUUAGAUCAUAAAUAAAAAAAUCUUCCAACCUUCCAUUUUAACCUGUGUACUUUUGAAAGUUUAAGCUAUGAUUCAAAAUCCCAUGCUUUACAAGAGACAUAUUCAAAUAUUGUAACUUUUUAAAAAGUUAUUCAAAAAAUAAUUAAAACAUGAAACUAGCUGUCUCUGUGAUAUGUCUCAGCACUUUUACUUCAAUAUAAACUAAACUGUUGAUAUUGAAAACAUUUGUCAAAUAUCUGAUCAACUUUUUUGAAAAUUAAAGCAAUACAUUUAAAGGUUUUGGGUCGGGUAUUUCAGUGAAGGGUUCACAGUCAGUAGGGAUUUAUGCAGCAGUGAAACCACAGUCUAUCAUAAAGAAAGAGGUAAAAUCAAAAUGUAUCACUGGAAGAAUCUAGGGUGUUGCCAAAUUGGGACCAUGGUCCAGUAAAAGAAUUGGGGGUAAUUUUUAAAAAAAGACUACUCCUCAAAUAGAAGUUGAAAGUUUUUGAUUUAAUGAUAUGUGAAACAUGACCUUGGGUAAAGGGGAUUAAAAUUGUGUGAAUUGCAUUGGAGCAGGUGUGGCCCAAUAUGGAUGGCUGUUCUACAGACUGCUGGUUAAAUAAGGAGCAGGUGUGGCCCAAUAUGGAUGGCUGUUCUACAGACUGCUGGUUUAAUAAGGAGCAGGUGUGGCCCAAUAUGAAUGGCUGUUCUACAGACUGCUGGUUUAAUCAAAUGGACAGAUUAUACCUUUGUUUUUUGUAAUGCACAUACAUGGGAGAUGUAAAAAGUACAGUCCUUGGGGAUGAAGGGACUGGGUUUAAUAUUGAAAUGGGGGUUAAUCUUAAAAUUAAAAUGACUACUCCUUAAAAUGGGUGAACAGGUUUUAAAUAGAUAUAGUAUGAAGAAUUCCUUGAAAGUCUAUUCCUAUAGAGUAGUUUGAAAGAUUUGUACUAGAAUUGCAGGAACAUGCAUAUUAUAUAAUGAAUAAUGAAUGUAUUGUUUCAUUUUAAGCCUGUUCUCAGCUUGUCAAAUAUUUAAAUUGUUCUUUUAAAUUAUAUAUGAGAUAUAAAUAAAAUCCAGGUGAGCUAUACUGGCCCAUGGGCCUUUUGUUUGAAAUGAUGUAGCAAUAUUCUUAUGUAAAUUAAUGAUAUCAAUGAUCCUAUUUAUGUAUCUACAAAGAAUUGUAGUUGGUAUAGCAGAUACACAUGUGAUGUAGUUUUAGAUUGUAGACACCUACUACUGAUGGUACCUGUUUCUCAGCAAAGCUGUUGUGUUGUGUGUGAUGACAUUGAUGAAUACAGGCAAGUUGCCUGUGUUUAUGUUUUGUAUUGUCUGUAAUUAUGAUGUUGAUUACAGGUGUGUUUGCGUGUUUGGUAUAGUAAUGUAAAACCACAGGUGCUGGAAUAAGUUGGCUCCUCUCAUCUUAACUCACUCACCCCGGAAGACACAUUUGAACUCUUCCAAUUCAAAAACUUAAAUAAUUCAUUAUGAAAUUUAAGGGGUUAAUAGUGUUAUUUUAUUGCCACAGGGGUAUAUAUUGAGAAAGUCCCAGUUUUUGAGACGACUGAUUUUUUUUAUCAUGUAAAAAUAAAUUAUUUUGGCCUGUAUCAUUGUUGAGCUUAGUACACAGAGAAAUGUCCACAGUUUAAAUGCAUAACGUAAUGUGGAUAAUGUGAUGAAGCACUUUACGACAGGCGGUAUAAUGUUACGCCUCUGUGUAAAAAUUCAUGAUUUUCUGUGCAAGGCAGUGCUUUAUCUACAUAUGUAUUUUGAAAACUCUGACAAUAUUUGUGUCAACUCCUGCUCAGUUCAGAGAUAUUUUUUCGGGGAAGGGGUCAAUUUAUUCAAACACAUGCGCGUAAAAUUCAACUUGACCGACAUCAUGUCAAACAUUACCGGAUGUCCUAACGUGUCUAUAAAGUCUGGUCUCACUACACGAGUGUUUACCUGUCUUUUGUGUGUAUCUGUUGAUGUAUUGAGUUGCUGUUAUUGGCUGGGUACAUUGUACUGCAUUUUGCUAUGUUCACGAUUUAAAUGAACUAUUGAAUAGUUUCAUAGCUAGUACGCUACGUAACAACUUCACUGAAGUGGAGGUGCACACAGAUUUAAUACCCGCGUUAGCAGUCCCUGAACAAUGAAUAGUAGCCCCAUAAAAUGAGGCAAGUAAUAUGUUAUUGAGGUGUAAAAUAUGUGGUAAACAAUUCUGUGACAUAACUUAUUCUGUACAUAGGUAUGAAGUGUUCCUACAAAUUUGAAAUAUGUGUAGAGUGAGAAAAUAAGGGGAGGAAACUCAUACAAUUAUAAUCAAGGAACAAUGUUCACACUUAGGACUAGUUAUAGUACACAAAUCAUUCUGUGUAGGAAGACUUUUUUGAAGUAUUACUUGUGCUUUGUAGUUACUUAUAGCUUUACAGAAAGUUAAGUAUAGUAUACUCUGUCAAAACUGGACUCUGUCCAUUCCAGAUUUUUGUCUGAACUGGCCCAAGGAUUUGGUUCCAACAAUGAUAUCGUAAAACUAGUGGACUACACAAUCCAGAAGUCUCUGCAAACCGGCCGAAUUGUAAGGUUCCAGGGGUUUCUAGUUUUUACAGAGUACGCUUUAUAUUUGUCGAGUCCGAGAACAAGUCAGCUGUACUUGUUUACGAUUAACUGUAAUACUGUGAUACACAAUCACCCUAGGUCUCCUGUACUUGAUAUCCAGACAAACUAUAAGUCCCAAAACAACUGUAUCAAAUAAAUAAAUGAAAUAUUCAAACUGCACGGCGGACAACAUCGAUCAUUUUAAUUUUCUGUAAAGCUUUAAGUAACUAGUCCCUGUGCUAAUAGUGACCUUACAAGUUAGGAUGUAUACGGAACUGAUGGGUUAUUGAAUUCCUGCACAAUAAGUUAAUAAACGAAGCAGGAGGUGUGUGUAUGUAUUUAGUGAGGUGAUAAACCUCUGUGUGUUUCGUGAUCAUGUUGUAAGUAUCUUUGGGCUCGUGCAACCAAACUUAUACCCAGUAAAAAGGAAAAUGUAAAAUAUUAUAAAUUAUGUACAUUGUAUUGAUUCAUUUCAACUUGAAAUGACAAAUGUGUGAUAUGUGUUGGUGUGAAAGCAAAAUAUAAGACCAAAAUUAUGUGAGCAAUAGUAUUGUUUUUUUCACCAUAUAUAAGGAUAUCACGUAAUGUUACUUGGUGAGCAUCAUACAACAAAUGAAAUGAAUUCAUGGUAACUUAAAAAAAUAAACAAGAAACAAAUCCUA
This 7114-nucleotide unclassified non-coding RNA is filed under the name Mizuhopecten yessoensis (Yesso scallop). RNAcentral's name for it is "iQ motif and SEC7 domain-containing protein 2-like, transcript variant X12". The record is from RNAcentral. Lineage: Eukaryota; Metazoa; Mollusca; Bivalvia; Pectinida; Pectinidae.